Molecule: ribosomal RNA, 253 nt
Filed under: uncultured bacterium
Lineage: Bacteria
Description: partial 16S ribosomal RNA
Rfam family: Bacterial small subunit ribosomal RNA
Source: RNAcentral
UACAGAGACCUCAAGCGUUAUCCGGAGUUAUUGGGCGUAAAGGGUCCGCAGGCGGCCUCAUAAGUCAUGUGUCAAAUUUCUGGGCUCAACCCAGAAACUGCGUGUGAUACUGUGAGGCUAGAGGCUGGGAAAGGCACAUGGAAUUACUGGUGUAGCGGUAAAAUGCGUUAAUAUCAGUAAGAACACCAAAGGCGAAGGCAGUGUGCUGGAACAGUCCUGACGCUCAGGGACGAAAGCGUGGGUAGCGAAUGGG